CACUUUGAAAAGAGGGUGAAAAGAGCCUGAAACCGUCACGGGGGAAGCGGAUCGCGUUGGAUUGAUGGGCGCUUGCGUGUUCAGCCCUUUGGGUGCAUUGGCGCAAGUUGCUUAUCCGCUGUGAGUUUUCGGGGGUCGAUUUUGGACCCCUGGGGACUGAGGGCUCCCUUUUACAGGUGAGGACAGCGGAGUGACGACGCGAUACGACCCGUCUUGAAACACGGACCAAGGAGUCUAGCGCGGGUGCGAGUCGGAGGGUGCAAGCCCGUGGGCGAAGUGAAAGCGAGUGUAAAAACGAGCAGUUUGGGGCGGCAUAAGAUCGUUGAUCUUAAGACCGACCCAGAGCAGUUGCGCUGGGACCCGAAAGAUGGUGAACUAUGCCGGAGUAGGGCAAAGCCAGAGGAAACUCUGGUGGAGGCUCGUAGCGGUGCUGACGUGCAAAUCGCUCGUCGAACUUGGGUAUAGGGGCGAAAGACUAAUCGAACCAUCUAGUAGCUGGUUCCCUCCGAAGUUUCUCUCAGGAUAGCGGGCCGACAAGUUGUUUUGUGCGGUAAAGCGAAUGAUUAGCGCAUUUCGGGGGCGUUUAGCCUUUGGGCGAUUCUCAAACUUUCAAUGCGCAAGGGUGCCGCUGCUUAAUUGAGCGGUACCGGUAAAAACGUCGGCCCUGUGGGCCACUUUUGGUAAGC
Molecule: ribosomal RNA, 686 nt
Filed under: Chondrus crispus (carragheen)
Lineage: Eukaryota; Rhodophyta; Florideophyceae; Gigartinales; Gigartinaceae
Description: eukaryotic LSU rRNA
Rfam family: Eukaryotic large subunit ribosomal RNA
Source: RNAcentral